GAUGAACGCUGGCGGCGUGCCUAAUACAUGCAAGUCGAGCGAACAGACGAGGAGCUUGCUCCUCUGACGUUAGCGGCGGACGGGUGAGUAACACGUGGAUCACCUACCUAUAAGACUGGGAUAACUUCGGGAAACCGGAGCUAAUACCGGAUAAUAUAUUGAACCGCAUGGUUCAAUAGUGAAAGACGGUUUUGCUGUCACUUAUAGAUGGAUCCGCGCCGCAUUAGCUAGUUGGUAAGGUAACGGCUUACCAAGGCAACGAUGCGUAGCCGACCUGAGAGGCUGAUCGGCCACACUGGAACGGAGACACGGUCCAUACUCCUACGGGAGGCAGCAGUAGGGAAUCUUCCGCAAUGGUCGAAAGCCUGACGGAGCAACGCCGCGUGAGUGAUGAAGGUCUUCGGAUCGUAAAACUCUGUUAUUAGGGAAGAACAAAUUUGUAAGUAACUAUGCACGUCUUGACGGUACCUAAUCAGAAAGCCACGGCUAACUACGUG
Molecule: ribosomal RNA, 497 nt
Filed under: uncultured bacterium
Lineage: Bacteria
Description: partial 16S ribosomal RNA
Rfam family: Bacterial small subunit ribosomal RNA
Source: RNAcentral